Molecule: long non-coding RNA, 912 nt
Organism: Neoarius graeffei (lesser salmon catfish)
Lineage: Eukaryota; Metazoa; Chordata; Actinopteri; Siluriformes; Ariidae
Exons: 3
Source: RefSeq, a predicted model, not a curated record
AGGAAGCCCCGAGGCAGACGACAGGUUUAUAUCGAUCUUCAAAUAUAGGCUGUGUUUUUCUCCAGUAACGAUGAACACAUUCUCACAGAGGCGCUCCAUCCUCUGGCUGUUCCCAUUCCUGAUUUGGACUCCAGCACUCAUGCCCCUUCACCCAUGACUGGAUUGCAGCCCACCCUCCACUCUCCCUGUGAGAACAUCAUGUCUGACUUGAAGUUAGUCCAGUAUGUGCUGUACUACACUUUCUCCUCCAGAGGAGGACUCAGCUUGUCUCUCACAGAGUGCCAUGUGGAUGUCACCCAGUUGUGAACACAAGAUGGAUCAGCUUGUGAUUGUGGCCAAUUAAAAGUACUUAUAUAAAGCCUCUGAUCCCUGGAUCUGGAGGAACAGGAGACAAGAGGAUAGACAAAACCCUGAAAACUGAGCUGCUGGGGUCUAAAUGCACUGCAUGAUUCCUUGGCUUCGUCUCCUACUGGAUUUAACAACGCCUUUGCUUUACCACUCCUAAGGCCUUAAUAAAACAAACAGGGCCACAUACGUGUCAUGAAUUCCCAUGAUGCUGACUUUCAGGAAUCAUCAAUAAAUACAUAACAGUGAAGCUAUUUAACAGCUAAGUAUAUAGAAUAAAUGUUGAGCCAGAUGGACAAGAAAGCUGAGAAAGCUGCAGGAAUUCCUUUGACCUUCAGUAAUACUGACUGGAGAUCAGUGGCUGAGGAAUGGAUGCGUAAAGACAGUGUGGAAAAGGUAGUAGGGGUUAUACGCUGAAGUCUUUCCCCAUCUGAGGCCCUUGGGUCUGGUUAAGGCUACUAAGUGAGGGGCAGUUUUAGUGUUGGGCAGGGCCAGUAAAUACAGCAUCUGGAAAACAUUAGUCUGUUGCUGCCCAGGGGUGAGAAAGAAGAAGGAUGGGGGAUCAGA